This 21-nucleotide non-coding RNA is filed under the name Caenorhabditis elegans. The record is from RNAcentral. Lineage: Eukaryota; Metazoa; Nematoda; Chromadorea; Rhabditida; Rhabditidae.
UAUCUAAUUGCAAAAACAUCA